RNAcentral lists this ribosomal RNA (510 nucleotides) under uncultured bacterium. RNAcentral describes it as "partial 16S ribosomal RNA". It matches the Rfam family "Bacterial small subunit ribosomal RNA", at positions 28 to 507 of the family's 1533-position model. The record is from RNAcentral.
GACGAACGCUGGCGGCGUGCUUAACACAUGCAAGUCGAACGAAGAGCGAUGGAAGCUUGCUUCUAUCAAUCUUAGUGGCGAACGGGUGAGUAACGCGUAAUCAACCUGCCCUUCAGAGGGGGACAACAGUUGGAAACGACUUCUAAUACCGCAUACGAUCUAACCUCGGCAUCGAGGAUAGAUGAAAGGUGGCCUCUACAUGUAAGCUAUCACUGAAGGAGGGGAUUGCGUCUGAUUAGCUAGUUGGAGGGGUAACGGCCCACCAAGGCGAAGCUCAGUAGCCGGUCUGAGAGGAUGGACGGCCACAUUGGGACUGGAACAAGGCCCAGACCCCUUCGGGGGGCAGCAGGGGGGGAUCUUCCGACAAGGACGAAAGUCUGACGGAGCAACGCCGCGUGAGUGAUGACAGCCGUCGGGUUGUAAAGCUCUGUUAAUCGGGACGAAAGGCCUUCUUGCGAAUAGGUAGAAGGAUUGACGGUACCGGAAGAGAAAGCCACGGCUAACUACGUG